GACGAACCGUCCAAACGUUAUUCGGAAUCACUGGGCUUACAGAGUUCGUAGGCGGUCUGGAAAGUUGGGUGUGAAAUCCCUCGGCUCAACCGAGGAACUGCGCUCGAAACUACCAGACUCGAGGGAGAUAGAGGAAAGCGGAACUGAUGGUGGAGCGGUGAAAUGCGUUGAUAUUAUCAGGAACACCGGUGGCGAAGGCGGCUUUCUGGGUCUUACCUGACGCUGAGGAACGAAAGCUAGGGGAGCGAACGGG
RNAcentral lists this ribosomal RNA (253 nucleotides) under uncultured bacterium. RNAcentral's name for it is "partial 16S ribosomal RNA". It matches the Rfam family "Bacterial small subunit ribosomal RNA", at positions 524 to 776 of the family's 1533-position model. The record is from RNAcentral.